Molecule: unclassified non-coding RNA, 283 nt
Filed under: plant metagenome
Description: partial contains small subunit ribosomal RNA, internal transcribed spacer 1, and 5.8S ribosomal RNA
Source: RNAcentral
UUUCCGUAGGUGAACCUGCGGAAGGAUCAUUGUCGAAACCUGCCCAGCAGAACGACCCGCGAACUUGUAUAAACAACUGGGGGCGGGGGGGCGUUCUCGCCCCGUGCCCCCGAACGGCGGGGAGACACUCGUGCCUUCCUGCCGAACAACGAACCCCGGCGCGGUCUGCGCCAAGGAACUUCAACUAAAGAGUGCCUCCGGUCGCCUCGGAAACGGCGUGCGUGCCGGAGGCGAAUCUUGUGCAAAACCAUAACGACUCUCGGCAACGGAUAUCUCGGCUCUC